Molecule: ribosomal RNA, 459 nt
Filed under: uncultured bacterium
Lineage: Bacteria
Description: partial 16S ribosomal RNA
Rfam family: Bacterial small subunit ribosomal RNA
Source: RNAcentral
CCUACGGGGGGCAGCAGUGAGGAAUAUUGGUCAAUGGACGAGAGUCUGAACCAGCCAAGUAGCGUGAAGGAUGACUGCCCUAUGGGUUGUAAACUUCUUUUAUAUGGGAAUAAAACGUUCCACGUGUGGGAUUUUGUAUGUACCAUAUGAAUAAGGAUCGGCUAACUCCGUGCCAGCAGCCGCGGUAAUACGGAGGAUCCGAGCGUUAUCCGGAUUUAUUGGGUUUAAAGGGAGCGUAGGUGGAUUGUUAAGUCAGUUGUGAAAGUUUGCGGCUCAACCGUAAAAUUGCAGUUGAAACUGGCAGUCUUGAGUACAGUAGAGGUGGGCGGAAGUCGUGGUGUAGCGGUGAAAUGCUUAGAUAUCACGAAGAACUCCGAUUGCGAAGGCAGUUCACUGGACUGCAACUGACACUGAGGCUCGAAAGUGUGGGUAUCAAACAGGAUUAGAUACCCGUGUAGU